RNAcentral lists this ribosomal RNA (440 nucleotides) under uncultured bacterium. RNAcentral describes it as "partial 16S ribosomal RNA". It matches the Rfam family "Bacterial small subunit ribosomal RNA", at positions 338 to 795 of the family's 1533-position model. The record is from RNAcentral.
CCUACGGGUGGCAGCAGUGGGGAAUAUUGCACAAUGGGGGAAACCCUGAUGCAGCGACGCCGCGUGAGUGAAGAAGUAAUUCGGUAUGUAAAGCUCUAUCAGCAGGGAAGAAAAUGACGGUACCUGAGUAAGAAGCCCCGGCUAACGACGGGCCAGCAGCCGCGGUAAUACGUAGGGGGAAAGCGUCAUCCGGAUUUACUGGGUGUACAGGGAGCGUAGCCGGCAGGGCAAGACUGGAGUGAAAGGCGGGGGCUCAACCCCCGGACUGCUCUGGAAACUGUACGGCUGGAGUGCAGGAGAGGUAAGUGGAAUUCCUAGUGUAGCGGUGAACUGCGUAGAUAUUAGGAGGAACCCCAGUGGCGAAGGCGGCUUACUGGACUGUACCUGCCGUUGAGGCUCGAAAGCGUGGGGAGCAAACAGGAUUAGAUACCCUAGUAGUC